Molecule: ribosomal RNA, 492 nt
Filed under: uncultured bacterium
Lineage: Bacteria
Description: partial 16S ribosomal RNA
Rfam family: Bacterial small subunit ribosomal RNA
Source: RNAcentral
AGUGAACGCUGGCGGUAGGCCUAACACAUGCAAGUCGAACGGCAGCACAGUAAGAGCUUGCUCUUACGGGUGGCGAGUGGCGGACGGGUGAGGCAUACAUCGGAAUCUACUUUUUCGUGGGGGAUAACGUAGGAAAACUUACGCUAAUACCACAUACGACCUACGGGUGAAAGCAGUGGAUCUUCGCACCUUGCGCGAUUGAAUGAGCCGAUGUCGGAUUAGCUAGUUGGCGGGGUAAAGGCCCACCAAGGCGACGAUCCGUAGCUGGUCUGAGAGGGUGAUCAGCCACACUGGAACUGAGACACGGUCCAGACUCCUACGGGAGGCAGCAGUGGGGAAUAUUGGGCAAUGGGCGAAAGCCUGAUCCAGCCAUGCCGCGUGGGUGAAGAAGGCCUUCGGGUUGUAAAGCCCUUUUGUUGGGAAAGAACAGCAGCAGGUUAAUACCCGGCUGUUCUGACGGUACCCAAAGAAUAAGCACCGGCUAACUUCGUG